Molecule: long non-coding RNA, 158 nt
Organism: Athene cunicularia (burrowing owl)
Lineage: Eukaryota; Metazoa; Chordata; Aves; Strigiformes; Strigidae
Exons: 3
Source: RefSeq, a predicted model, not a curated record
CCAGCUGAAGCUCUGAACCUGUGAAGCCCCCACCAAUAUCCAACAUGUUCAUCUUAAAGCCAAAUUCUUCCUAAAAGGCAUAGGCAGAAUGUAAGUACACAGACAACUGUAACCAAUUUUUUUGUUGCUCCUUACUGUGGCUUUCUACUUACUGUGGU